AUUUUACAGAUGGUUAAACACAGAAUAGAAAGGUUAACUGCCUUGCCCACGGCUGCUCACUAAGUUACCUGCUCUGUUGGGAGUGAGAACCCAGACCUGAAUCAUCAGUCCUGUAAGCAGAAAAAUCUCUCCCUUCAUACACCACAGAAACAGAACACUCCCAUACCAAACACAACCCUCAAGAGAUUAACGUCAUCCUUCAGGGAUUCAGCUGAGAAGCAACACUGCCAAGCUCUGGUGCAGUGUUCUGUAGGAGGUUCUACAGAUGCAGACAAGAUAUGAAGAUACACAUGAAGAUUCACCACAAUGAAUCACCAUGACUUACCUCCACAGUAAAGCAACUCAGUUGUAGCUAGAAGUCAGUAAAAACAGGUUACAGCACAAAUGACAUGAUUCCAUGGUACCUUCGAGAGGAAUUAUUCUAUUCAGAAACUAUCCCAAACCCUUUAUUUUGGGCUUACGUUAGCAGUGUGCCAGCUAGCCACUUGGAAACUAAGUUCAUUUACUCACGUAGUGUGUAGGCUGCACAUGCUGAAUCAGUAAAAAGUCCUGCACAGAGUUGCUCCCAUGGGUUUGAAAGCCAGCACAGAGGGACCUCCACUAGGGAUGAAGCACUGUCUCAGGCUCAGCAUCUCCAUCAGGCUUCAGCUGUUCCACUGAGUCUGUCUACAGGGGUGAUAGUUACAGCAAGCUCUAGUAUUGUUAUGCAUGCACUCUAUCCCAGCUGCACAAGUGUGUGCAACCCUAUCCAUAUUGCACACAGUCAUUCCCACUGCAGAAAGACAAGACCAUUUUAAGUUGUCCCUAAGUAAGCUGGGCUAAAUUUUAGCUGUCAGAGCACAGUGGCUGGCCCUGCACUAUGCAUUUGAGGGAGACAAGCAGUAUGCUCCUCUUUAAGAGCUUCCAGAACCAUCCCUUCCAAGUACUUUCCCAAUGCGUUUUUAUGCCGCUCCAAAACCUGACCCAUUAAUGCCCACAUCUGAGUAAGAGUCACAGCAGGAAUGAAGCUGUCUCAAAAAGAUACAGGCUGACUGAGGAUGAGAUGCUAGGUUUGGACAGUCGCUUCAGGUGAUCUUUAUUUUAACGUUCUGGGGAUUAGACAUUUUCUUAACUCAACGUGAACACUUCUAAAAAGUCAGUCUGUAUCUCAAUUACAUUAUGCAGAUUUGCUUUCUUGCACAUUUUUGGAUUCUCACGCAUACCAAACUCCAGCAUUUCAUCAAGGAGACAUAUCUGCAGGCAAUGUGACAGCUGCUUCCUGGCUCUCUGAGCCUGCAACAUUUUAUUUGGGUCAUGCAUAGUAUCUUUCCUCCCCUUUGAAGCAGGUAAAAUGUCUGCUUGUUUCUGACAGUGGGAGAUACCAUCACAGAAAUUAAGCCAUCUCAGAAGGAAAUCGUCAAGGAGGACAAACUUGCUACUGCAUGUUUGUAACAAUGCAUGAGCAGUGUUUCUUGAGCUAGCAAUGUAUUGCACAGGGAGCUAAAUUCAGCUCUUACACUUGGCAGCUUCACCAAUGGGAGUCACUGCAGUCUGAGUGCAAGCUCACCGCAUCCCAUCCACAGAAGGAUCCCUUCACAGGGAGACUUCCCACGUCCACGAAGCUGGAGAUGGGGUAACCUCCAUGCCACUGCCUUUGUGGAGGAGAAUCUGCAGUAGUAAUGCAACCCUGGGGACGCUUUCUCAUCAGUUCUGUUUGCAGGGAAUCAUUAUGGUGAUGACCAGUUCUGGCAAUGAACCAACAGGGGCAUGUUUUGUGCUGAAGGUUAUGAACAGUAACAAAGAUCCCAUUAAGAAUGAAAUUUAAGCUCUGCCCCAUUUACCAGCAGUUAGAAAUACGGAAAAUCAAUAUGAAUACUAUGUAACUGUUGAUGCCCACAAUGGAUAAAUAUUCCUAACUGGACACGUUCAAUACUAAUGAAUUAGACAUUAAUCAGUAGCAUAAAAUAUUAUUAAAGUUUCUUAUCUGGAAAAAACAAACAAACAUACUUUGUGAAAUCACUUUGAGGUGAUGGAGUGUCCCGAAUGGCAGCUUCAUAAAUAAAGCUUUACUAAGCCUUGCUCUUCUGCUUGCACUGGGUUAUGUGGGUGUCAGCUUGGUCUGCUCCUUGCUGUUCUGAGGGGUGCUAAGCUCCAAAUAAAAUCGGGGCUUUCAGAGCUCUAUGUUGGGUUGAACAAAAUGCUACAAACUAAGAACAAAUCUAGAUCUUCAUUUUGAGGCAUCGCAGUAGGAUGAACCUGCAAGUAAGAGCAGAACCCAGUCAAAAUAGUCGAGUUUGAGAUGUGACCUCUGCAAAAUUAGUCAACCUUACAGCAUAAUGAAGCAAAACCAUGUAUUUGUGACCAAAGGAAAGGUACAGAUUUGCUGAAGCCUUCACUGGUGUGUCACUGGAAAGCUCGGUAGGACAGAUCACUUUGUUAAGUGGAUGCAAGCAUUGAGUCCAUAAUAAAACUUGCAGCCAAAAAGGUGUGACCCAGUUUCUUGUUCCACCACUGAACAAUUUGCACAGCUCUAAAUAUAAAACUGUUGAUAACAUAUCCAUAUUUGUUGCACAGGGAGCGCGCUGCAUGAACUGUACCAGGCAACAAGUUGUGUAUUUCCAACCAUACUGCACCAUCUCUCCCUUUAAUAAGAGGAUCAGACACUGUUUUUCUCUUUAUCAUACCCACAUACAAAUAAACAUGAAAGCCCACGUUGAAAUUAUAAAUAUAUUUGUGUUAUUUUUAAACAUGGCACUACACAGUGAAAAUCAUGUCAUUGCAUUUGUCUUGAAAGAAUAAUAGAAGACAGUAUUGAUACAGAACAUUCUCUCACUGUCCCACUUCAUUCUGUUUCAGUGUGUUUUUAGAAGUAAUAAUGUUAACGAUGGCAGCAUUAAGUCACAUUGAAUAAGCUGUAGAGCUAACAGAAGUAAGCACUCUCGUCCUCAGCAUGGUGCAAACCCCAUUGCAAACACCAUGAGCCAAUGGAGUGGCUCCACUGAUGCCAGCAAAGCCAUACUGAUAUAGGAUCACAUUAGAUCUAUUCCAUAGCUUCUGCUUGAGCCUGAUGUACAUAGCCCCAAUAGAGUGCCCCCUCGUUGCAUAUCUCAAAGCACUUUAAAAUGAUAAAUAGUUAAUACGAUCUUCAUUUUAUAGGUGGGAAAAUGGAGGCACAGACAGAAAGAGUGAUUUGCUGAAAGUCUUCUAGGAUCAGGAACAACAGCCAGGUGCCCUAAGCCCUAACCUUGUACCCUUGGACCACACUGUUCCUCAACACACGGUGCAAUGUGCUCCUGUCUGCCUGAGCAAUUAGCGCAACUGAUACAAGAGAUUUGGAUCCAAGUGUCCAUAAAAGACCACUCAUAUUAACUGAGCUAGGCAAUAUUAUAACUGGAGUGGUUUUUUUUAAGGACUACUAUAGUAUUUGCAAUAGUUAAAUAGAUGCUACUUUAAUCAGCUCUUUUAUAAUAGCACACGCUCCUUAGAUUGUUCAUUACUGUGUUAUUUCUUACCUUAAGCCCUCCCAGCUAUUCUAGAUAAUAUUUUAAAUACACAGAGCUUUAAAAAAAUAUUUCCAUUACAAAUAUUUUAAAAAUAGACUUAUCCUAAAAAGCUGUCCGGCACUAUUCCAAAAAUCUCUUGUAAUAAAUGUCUUUUUUUUUAUUAUUAUUUUAACAAAAAUAACUACUGUUAUAUAGUAGAGCUCAAGUUCUGACAAAUCUAUAAUACAGUCAGAAAUAUCCUGGGCCAGAUUCCACUCUUGUUUAUGCAGUUAGGAUCAUGGUGUUCACUUCAUCUGGUUUACUCUAGCAUAACCAGAAGCAGAAUAUAGCCCUUAGUGUUGUAAAAUAACUAAGCAGGCUGAACACUGCAACAAUUACUUGUGCCUAGCGUUACACAGAAGGGAACUCCUUUAUUUCACUGCAACUCAAUGCAAAAGAACAUUAUAGUUCGUGGUUUUGCCAUAGCCAAAGAGGUGUCAGGCAGCUGCAGUGGAUGACUCAGAUCCACAACCACAUUUUGCCUGUAGAAAAGGAAAUCUUGGCUGAAUGUCUGCAACCGCUGUCAGUCAUUAAAAGAAGGAUGCAUAUUUAGAGAGAAGACUCGUGGAGAGAAAACACCAACCUUCCUAUGCCUUCCACAGUUCUACGAAUCCUUUUUAACUGUGUUUUGUUACUCAGAAAGUUGUGUGAGCUUGCUAGAAUCUCCCAUUAAUUCACUGUAGGAAAGACACUCUUAAAUUGCAUCCAGAUCUCCAGCAGAGCUGCCUCCCCCUAAGCAGCCCUUUUCCAAGUGCACAUUUAAAACAAGCUACUAAGUGCUUACAGGAUCUGCAUCUGAUCAGAAGGAUGGUGUUGAAGCUGACAGUCUUUUAAAACACUGGAACAUUUUUAUCUUUUUCUCCUAUCUCCCUUUUCCUUCUGGCCUUCAAAUUUAAAUGCAACGUCUGACUAAUGAUGACAGAAAUUAAUCUGCUCUCAUUGCAUCAGGUUAUAUAUGCAAGUAAAACUAACAGUCUCAGCUGCAAACGGUGAUUCCUACCUGUGACCUCCAUGAAAUUAGUAUGGAACCUUAUACAUAGAUUUAAUCUAAUCAUGUCUAAAACUUGUAGUCUGGUUUUCUUCCUAGACUUUGGCUGCUGAUCUAUCAGUAACUUAUAAACCAAGGAAAUUUAAGUAUAUAGACUGAGUUCAGUCCUCACUGUCGUCUUCAUCAUCAUCGUCAUCUUUACUGGGAGCACAUCUUUGGAAGCAGUGCACUAGAGUUGCUAGGAAGAAGCUUGAUAGAAUUGCAGCAAUGGAGACUGCGACUCCAGAGAAGAUGAUGAUAAAAAGGCAGGGAACACUGGAUUUCAUGGAGACCUGCAAAGAAGAGGAGAGGGAAACAAAUCAGAGGAAUAUUGAUGAAACCAUCUCUUGCUCUGGACAGAGAACAAAUGCCUGAGGAAAAUGUUUUAAGGGUUAUUUCUAGGCUCAGGAAUUUGUAUGAAAUUCAGGAGAAAUAAAAGAACAAAAUUUGCCACUA
Molecule: long non-coding RNA, 5004 nt
Organism: Gallus gallus (chicken)
Lineage: Eukaryota; Metazoa; Chordata; Aves; Galliformes; Phasianidae
Exons: 4
Source: RefSeq, a predicted model, not a curated record